This is a long non-coding RNA of Cyprinus carpio (common carp), 378 nucleotides long. The record is from Ensembl. Lineage: Eukaryota; Metazoa; Chordata; Actinopteri; Cypriniformes; Cyprinidae.
AUUUAUAACAAAAAUGAAACAUGUAAAACAACUUGUUAAUUUUAAAUAAAUGUGUUUUACCCUCUUCUCCAUAAGAGGAUCUCUGGAACAUGGAUAAACACAAGAGAUGGCUUCCUGUCACAUGUGGGAAGAAAAAGGCCUUAUUGGACAGGAAAGCAUUUUAUGACAGAAAGAAGGACUGCAUUAAAUGUGGCAAAGAAAUGAUCCCCCCUUAUAUAUUUGAGAAAAUGGGUGGAAAAGAAUCAUGCAAGUCCUGGAAAACAAGUAUAUUAUGCCAAGGCACAACCCUCAAGAGUCUCAUGGAGAUGAAAAUUUUGAAGAUACCCAAACUUAAUGGAAAAUUGACCCUUCGUAAAUGAUGUGCCAUGCAUCACAUUA